Molecule: ribosomal RNA, 467 nt
Filed under: uncultured bacterium
Lineage: Bacteria
Description: partial 16S ribosomal RNA
Rfam family: Bacterial small subunit ribosomal RNA
Source: RNAcentral
GACGAACGCUGGCGGCGUGCUUAACACAUGCAAGUCGAACGGAAAGGCCCUGCUUUUGUGGGGUGCUCGAGUGGCGAACGGGUGAGUAACACGUGAGUAACCUGCCCUUGACUUUGGGAUAACUUCAGGAAACUGGGGCUAAUACCGGAUAGGAGCUCCUGCUGCAUGGUGGGGGUUGGAAAGUUUCGGCGGUUGGGGUUGGACUCGCGGUUUAUCAGCUUGUUGGUGGGUAGUGGCUUACCAAGGCUUUGACGGGUAGCCGGCCUGAGAGGGUGACCGGCCACAUUGGGACUGAGAUACGGCCCAGACUCCUACGGGAGGCAGCAGUGGGGAAUAUUGCACAAUGGGCGGAAGCCUGAUGCAGCAACGCCGCGUGCGGGAUGACGGCCUUCGGGUUGUAAACCGCUUUCGCCUGUGACGAAGCGUGAGUGACGGUAAUGGGUAAAGAAGCACCGGCUAACUACGUG